AUGCAACGGCCCCCCUGCGGAUUGGUAAAGGGGAGUGAGCAGAGGGGUUCCGCAGACCGACUCGGAACCCUGCAGGGACCAGCUGGGAAGCGCCUUUGCCUUGGGACCUGUGUACAACCCCCCUGCCGCUGCCGUCCCCCUCCUCUCAGCCUCCUACGCUCCCUCUAUGUCCCCGCCUCUCUGGGAAAAUGGCGCCCGCCGCUCUCCCCUCCCUCCCGCUACACGGGGCUCACCCCUCCCGCCCGGCAGGGGCAAGGUUGCCAGGGCGAAGCCAAACGGCCGCCAUUUUGCUUGUGGGCUGGAGCGCAGUCUGUGUCCGUUAAGUCCUCCCUCGUGCCAUGUCCAUUUUACAAAGGGGGUUUUCUCGCGAUCUUAAACUGUUCGAUAGCCGGGGCCAGAGAGCGCGGCCCGCGAUCGAAAAAUGCUAGAAAGCGGCAGCCUAGGGGACGGCGGGGGCGAGGGGACUGUGUCUGGGGGGAGACUCGGGGCGAUCGUGCAGCGGAGUCCACAGGCGGGGGGGCUCGGCGCCAAAAUGAUGCCGGGGGGGACCUAAAGCGCGGAGCGAGACCCUGUUUUCCGCAGGGACGCAGACCUCGAAACCUGUCGUCAGCCUGCCCCCAAGAUGCUUGGUUGGGCUACUCGCUCAGGUUCUGCCUGUUAUUGUGUGAAAUGGCGGCUGCUGUCUUGGUGGGUUUGGUUUUGUUGUUUUUUUCCUUCUUUCUCCUCCCAUUCCCCUCCCCCACCUCUGUCUUGGCCACUUCUCCGCAGCGAACCACGGUGAGGACUGAGUCAGGAGGAAGAGGAGUGGGGAGUGGACCGCAUUGAAGCCAAUAGCCAGGCACGCCCGGAUUGUCUGCUGCUGACAUCAUCUUCCAGCCGGGGCAGCUGCAGCUAGGCAGGACUGAGGAGCUGUCGGGGGAGGCUGGUGCAAAGGGAGAAGCUGGGCGCCAUGAUCCCAGCACUGGGAAAUCUGUGAGGGCACGGAGACUGAGGCAGGUUCAUGGGAAGGGAACGAGAAGGCCUUGACAACCAUCACCCAAGCAGUGCCGUGACUGAGGAGAUACGCUGGGGGAGAGGGUCAGCCUGUGCCUGUAUUUGUAACUGUGUCAGUACAGAAUGGCACAGGGUCUCCCUGGAGAGGGACGGGAACUGCAUGUCCGCCGGAGGUCAUGUGACCGCGUUGCAGUCUUGUGGGGUUGUUUGGCUGCAGACCAAGCUGGCGGAGAUGGUGGCUGCUGCUGGGGAGAGUCCGCGCUUCCUUCCCUGCCCCAUCAUCCCCGCCCCAGGCUGGAGAGUCUGGGUGGAUUUUUAUUUCCCUUCCCUAUUAUCCGUCUGCAGAAGGGUGUAGCUGGUGCUGCUGAGAAAGGUUCUCGCUUCUCAUCCCAUUCCCCACCCCCAGAAUGUGGCAGCUCCUUCUGGGGAAAGUUCAUUCCUCCUCCCCCUCUUCUCUGCAUUGAGCUUAGCUGCUGCAGAAGAAAAUUCUCGUUCUUCCUCUCCCUGCCCCACCCCCCUCUUUCCAUGAGAGUCUGGGGGCGGAGAGUAAUGUUUUCCACAACUCCCAGACAAGGUUGUAAGGUGUCUGAUUGCUGCUAUCUAAAUUAGGUCACAUUUGUGAUCCUGUCUUUGACUCUCCUUAUUUCACUUAUAAGAGCAACUCUAUUGGUUAGAUUUCCUGUGGUAGUGCUUGUUGGUAUCUCUUCAUCUUAGUGAGACACUUAACUAUCCUAGUCCACCUCUGCACGGUUUGCAAAUAUACUCAUUUUUGUGAACUGCUGUGUGCUCCCUCUCAACAUUGGACCGAUUUGCAGAGGUGGCUUACUAGGAAAAAUGCUGAAAGUGCUUCAUAGGAUUGACCAGUCAUGAAAGUUGACUAAUAUUUUUUUGGGUGAUACCCACUUUUCCAGUGGAACAGGUAGUUCAGACCACAGAUAUAUAGAACAAAUCUAUGAUUUGAAGUAUUGCAAUUGCACUAAUGUAUUAACUCUUGGAUUUGUUUAUAUAUGAAUAGUAAAAUCCUUCCCUGGAAAUGUUAUGUAAUCCUGGUAAUCUUUUAAAGAUGCCAUACUUAAAACUAGACUGAACAAAGAAUUAGGAGCUUUAAAACUAGAAGAUUCCAUAGUUUCUCCAUAGAGGGACUAACGUGUUAUCCCUCUUAAAUUGUUCAUUUAUAUUCUGUUUGCUUCUACCUGCGUUUCCAGACAAUAGUGAGUGAGGAAGGGGGAGCUUAAAAAUACAUUGUCUGACCUCUUAUCUCGGAGGUUGUGUACUGUUGCAUUAAAAAUAGUACUGCAAAUAAAUAUUUGCUACCAACUUGCA
This 2316-nucleotide long non-coding RNA is filed under the name Chrysemys picta bellii (western painted turtle). RNAcentral's name for it is "lncRNA (ENSCPBG00000020777.1)". Lineage: Eukaryota; Metazoa; Chordata; Testudines; Emydidae. The record is from RNAcentral.